CCUAACAUCCAACGGUCAAGUGACUGGCGGUUCUUGCGCACAGCCAUUGACAAUAGGGCUCCUCGCACACUGCUCCCCAGGCGAGACACAAGAUCUAGUACGGAGCGGGUCUACUGAGGAUAAAGAUGGGUUUUUACGCGAGCAAGAAGGAUGCAGUGCCCAAGGAGGCUGCCACCUCAUAAAUAGCAGCGGCAUCGGAAAGCUCAAAAGGCUGCCAAUUAUCUUGCGAAUGGAGUCGGUGAAAACCUGAUACUUGACCGUAUGUGCACCGGUGUCCUCUGUUCACAUGCUCUUUCGAGGGAUGUUCGGAAAUACACUUAUAUGGGGGACUACUUUUUCCUUUCAGCUUAGACCAUCCGUGCCUAUGGUACUUCUUGUAGUCCCCAAAAUAUGCGCCACAUGUACCAUGCAUGACUUCAUCUAAAAGCUUGUAUCGAAAUGCGGGUAAAUUGUGGCCUAUGUGGGAGGCUUGACAUUACAUUGACAUGCAGAGGUGCAAUAAUAUUCCUUGCAUGCAUGUCUUGUGCAAUAUUUUUCAAAAUCAGAUAUGUGGCUCGUGAGACAAUUGAUGGUACAUGAUUUUAUAUAUGGACAGCUUUGCUUGGCGUUUUAUCAUGCUUCUUAAUGCAUUGGGACAUGGCUCAAUGACAAUUAUGUGAUUUGAUGCCUAAUCUAAAUGUGCAGAGAUACACUUUUAUGGGGGACUACUUUUUCCUUUCAGCUUAGACCAUUCGUGCCUAUGGUACUUCCUGUAGUCCCCAAAAUAUGCGCCACAUGUACCAUGCAUGACUUCAUCUAAAAGCUUGUAUCGAAAUGCGGGUAAAUUGUGGCCUAUGUGGGAGGCUUGACAUUACAUUGACAUGCAGAGGUGGAAUAAUAUUCCUUGCAUGCAUGUCUUGUGCAAUAUUUUUCAAAAUCAGAUAUGUGGCUCGUGAGACAAUUGACAGUACAUGAUUUUAUAUAUAGACAGCUUUGCUGGGCGUUUUAUCAUGCUUCUUAAUGCACUGGGACAUGGCUCAAUGACAAUUAUGUGAUCUGAUGCCUAAUCUAAAUGUGCAGAAAUACACUUAUAUGGGGGACUACUUUUUCCUUUCAGCUUAGACCAUCCGUGCCUAUGGUACUUCUUGUAGUCCCCAAAAUAUGCGCCACAUGUAGGAUGCAUGACUUCAUCUAAAAGCUUGUAUCGAAAUGCGGGUAACUUGUGGCCUAUGUGGGAGGCUUGACAUUACAUUGACAUGCAGAGGUGCAAUAAUAUUCCUUGCAUGCAUGUCUUGUGCAAUAUUUUUCAAAAUCAGAUAUGUGGCUCGUGAGACAAUUGAGGGUACAUGAUUUUAUAUAUGGACAGCUUUGCUUGGCGUUUUAUCAUGCUUCUUAAUGCACUGGGACAUGGCUCAAUGACAAUUAUGUGAUUUGAUGCCUAAUCUAAAUGUGCAGAGAUACACUUUUAUGGGGGACUACUUUUUCCUUUCAGCUGAGACCAUCCGUGCCUAUGGUACUUCCUGAAGUCCCCAAAAUAUGCGCCACAUGUACCAUGCAUGACUUCAUCUAAAAGCUUGUAUCGAAAUGCGGGUAAAUUGUGGCCUAUGUGGGAGGCUUGACAUUACAUUGACAUGCAGAGGUGGAAUAAUAUUCCUUGCAUGCUUGUCUUGUGCAAUAUUUUUCAAAAUCAGAUAUGUGGCUCGUAAGACAAUUGACAGUACAUGAUUUUAUAUAUAGACAGCUUUGCUGGGCGUUUUAUCAUGCUUUUUAAUGCACUGGGACAUGGCUCAAUGACAAUUAUGUGAUUUGGUGCCUAAUCUAAAUGUGCAGAAAUACACUUAUAUGGGGGACUACGUUUUCCUUUCAGCUUAGACCAGCCGUGCCUAUGGUACUUCUUGUAGUCCCCAAAAUAUGCGCCACAUGUAGGAUGCAUGACUUCAUCUAAAAGCUUGUAUCGAAAUGCGGGCAACUUGUGGCCUAUGUGGGAGGCUUGACAUUACAUUGACAUGCAGAGGUGCAAUAAUAUUCCUUGCAUGCAUGUCUUGUGCAAUAUUUUUCAAAAUCAGAUAUGUGGCUCGUGAGACAAUUGAUGGUACAUGAUUUUAUAUAUGGACAGCUUUGCUUGGCAUUUUAUCAUGCUUCUUAAUGCACUGGGACAUGGCUCAAUGACAAUUAUGUGAUCUGAUGCCUAAUCUAAAUGUGCAGAAAUACACUUAUAUGGGGGACUAUUUUUUCCUUUCAGCUUAGACCAUCCGUGCCUAUGGUACUUCUUGUAGUCCCCAAAAUAUGCGCCACAUGUAGGAUGCAUGACUUCAUCUAAAAGCUUCUAUUGAAAUGCGGGUAACUUGUGGCCUAUGUGGGAGGCUUUACAUUACAUUGACAUGCAGAGGUGCAAUAAUAUUCCUUGCAUGCAUGUCUUGUGCAAUAUUUUUCAAAAUCAGAUAUGUGGCUCGUGAGACAAUUGAGGGUACAUGAUUUUAUAUAUGGACAACUUUGCUUGGCGUUUUAUCAUGCUUCUUAAUGCACUGGGACAUGGCUCAAUGACAAUUAUGUGAUUUGAUGCCUAAUCUAAAUGUGCAGAGAUACACUUUUAUGGGGGACUACUUUUUCCUUUCAGCUGAGACCAUCCGUGCCUAUGGUACUUCCUGUAGUCCCCAAAAUAUGCGCCACAUGUACCAUGCAUGACUUCAUCUAAAAGCUUGUAUCGAAAUGCGGGUAAAUUGUGGCCUAUGUGGGAGGCUUGACAUUACAUUGACAUGCAGAGGUGGAAUAAUAUUCCUUGCAUGCAUGUCUUGUGCAAUAUUUUUCAAAAUCAGAUAUGUGGCUCGUGAGACAAUUGACAGUACAUGAUUUUAUAUAUAGACAGCUUUGCUGGGCGUUUUAUCAUGCUUCUUAAUGCACUGGGACAUGGCUCAAUGACAAUUAUGUGACCUGAUGCCUAAUCUAAAUGUGCAGAAAUACACUUAUAUGGGGGACUACUUUUUCCUUUCAGCUUAGACCAUCCGUGCCUAUGGUACUUCUUGUAGUUCCCAAAAUAUGCGCCACAUGUAGGAUGCAUGACUUCAUCUAAAAGCUUGUAUCGAAAUGCGGGUAACUUGUGGCCUAUGUGGGAGGCUUGACAUUACAUUGACAUGCAGAGGUGCAAUAAUAUUCCUUGCAUGCAUGUCUUGUGCAAUAUUUUUCAAAAUCAGAUAUGUGGCUCGUGAGACAAUUGAUGGUACAUGAUUUUAUAUAUGGACAGCUUUGCUUGGCGUUUUAUCAUGCUUCUUAAUGCACUGGGACAUGGCUCAAUGACAAUUAUGUGAUUUGAUGCCUAAUCUAAAUGUGCAGAGAUACACUUUUAUGGGGGACUACUUUUUCCUUUCAGCUGAGACCAUCCGUGCCUAUGGUACUUCCUGUAGUCCCCAAAAUAUGCGCCACAUGUACCAUGCAUGACUUCAUCUAAAAGCUUGUAUCGAAAUGCGGGUAAAUUGUGGCCUAUGUGGGAGGCUUGACAUUACAUUGACAUGCAGAGGUGGAAUAAUAUUCCUUGCAUGCAUGUCUUGUGCAAUAUUUUUCAAAAUCAGAUAUGUGGCUCGUGAGACAAUUGACAGUACAUGAUUUUAUAUAUAGACAGCUUUGCUGGGCGUUUUAUCAUGCUUCUUAAUGCACUGGGACAUGGCUCAAUGACAAUUAUGUGACCUGAUGCCUAAUCUAAAUGUGCAGAAAUACACUUAUAUGGGGGACUACUUUUUCCUUUCAGCUUAGACCAUCCGUGCCUAUGGUACUUCUUGUAGUCCCCAAAAUAUGCGCCACAUGUAGGAUGCAUGACUUCAUCUAAAAGCUUGUAUCGAAAUGCGGGUAACUUGUGGCCUAUGUGGGAGGCUUGACAUUACAUUGACAUGCAGAGGUGCAAUAAUAUUCCUUGCAUGCAUGUCUUGUGCAAUAUUUUUCAAAAUCAGAUAUGUGGCUCGUGAGACAAUUGAUGGUACAUGAUUUUAUAUAUGGACAGCUUUGCUUGGCGUUUUAUCAUGCUUCUUAAUGCACUGGGACAUGGCUCAAUGACAAUUAUGUGAUUUGAUGCCUAAUCUAAAUGUGCAGAGAUACACUUUUAUGGGGGACUACUUUUUCCUUUCAGCUGAGACCAUCCGUGCCUAUGGUACUUCCUGUAGUCCCCAAAAUAUGCGCCACAUGUACCAUGCAUGACUUCAUCUAAAAGCUUGUAUCGAAAUGCGGGUAAAUUGUGGCCUAUGUGGGAGGCUUGACAUUACAUUGACAUGCAGAGGUGGAAUAAUAUUCCUUGCAUGCAUGUCUUGUGCAAUAUUUUUCAAAAUCAGAUAUGUGGCUCGUGAGACAAUUGACAGUACAUGAUUUUAUAUAUAGACAGCUUUGCUGGGCGUUUUAUCAUGCUUCUUAAUGCACUGGGACAUGGCUCAAUGACAAUUAUGUGAUCUGAUGCCUAAUCUAAAUGUGCAGAAAUACACUUAUAUGGGGGACUACUUUUUCCUUUCAGCUUAGACCAUCCGUGCCUAUGGUACUUCCUGUAGUCCCCAAAAUAUGCGCCACAUGUAGGAUGCAUGACUUCAUCUAAAAGCUUGUAUCGAAAUGCGGGUAACUUGUGGCCUAUGUGGGAGGCUUGACAUUACAUUGACAUGCAGAGGUGCAAUAAUAUUCCUUGCAUGCAUGUCUUGUGCAAUAUUUUUCAAAAUCAGAUAUGUGGCUCGUGAGACAAUUGAUGGUACAUGAUUUUAUAUAUGGACAGCUUUGCUUGGCGUUUUAUCAUGCUUCUUAAUGCACUGGGACAUGGCUCAAUGACAAUUAUGUGAUUUGAUGCCUAAUCUAAAUGUGCAGAGAUACACUUUUAUGGGGGACUACUUUUUCCUUUCAGCUGAGACCAUCCGUGCCUAUGGUACUUCCUGUAGUCCCCAAAAUAUGCGCCACAUGUACCAUGCAUGACUUCAUCUAAAAGCUUGUAUCGAAAUGCGGGUAAAUUGUGGCCUAUGUGGGAGGCUUGACAUUACAUUGACAUGCAGAGGUGGAAUAAUAUUCCUUGCAUGCAUGUCUUGUGCAAUAUUUUUCAAAAUCAGAUAUGUGGCUCGUGAGACAAUUGACAGUACAUGAUUUUAUAUAUAGACAGCUUUGCUGGGCGUUUUAUCAUGCUUCUUAAUGCACUGGGACAUGGCUCAAUGACAAUUAUGUGAUCUGAUGCCUAAUCUAAAUGUGCGGAAAUACACUUAUAUGGGGGACUAUUUUUUCCUUUCAGCUUAGACCAUCCGUGUUGUAGUCCCCAAAAUAUGCGCCACAUGUAGGAUGCAUGACUUCAUCUAAAAGCUUGUAUCGAAAUGCGGGUAAAUUGUGGCCUAUGUGGGAGGCUUGACAUUACAUUGACAUGCAGAGGUGCAAUAAUAUUCCUUGCAUGCAUGUCUUGUGCAAUAUUUUUCAAAAUCAGAUAUGUGGCUCGUGAGACAAUUGAUGGUACAUGAUUUUAUAUAUGGACAGCUUUGCUUGGCAUUUUAUCAUGCUUCUUAUUGCACUGGGACAUGGCUCAAUGACAAUUAUGUGAUCUGAUGCCUAAUCUAAAUGUGCAGAAAUACACUUAUAUGGGGGACUACUUUUUCCUUUCAGCUUAGACCAUCCGUGCCUAUGGUACUUCUUGUAGUCCCCAAAAUAUGCGCCACAUGUAGGAUGCAUGACUUCAUCUAAAAGCUUGUAUCGAAAUGCGGGUAACUUGUGGCCUAUGUGGGAGGCUUGACAUUACAUUGACAUGCAGAGGUGCAAUAAUAUUCCUUGCAUGCAUGUCUUGUGCAAUAUUUUUCAAAAUCAGAUAUGUGGCUCGUGAGACAAUUGAGGGUACAUGAUUUUAUAUAUGGACAGCUUUGCUUGGCGUUUUAUCAUGCUUCUUAAUGCACUGGGACAUGGCUCAAUGACAAUUAUGUGAUUUGAUGCCUAAUCUAAAUGUGCAGAGAUACACUUAUAUGGGGGACUACUUUUUCCUUUCAGCUUAGACCAUCCGUGCCUAUGGUACUUCCUGUAGUCCCCAAAAUAUGCGCCACAUGUACCAUGCAUGACUUCAUCUAAAAGCUUGUAUCGAAAUGCGGGUAAAUUGUGGCCUAUGUGGGAGGCUUGACAUUACAUUGACAUGCAGAGGUGGAAUAAUAUUCCUUGCAUGCAUGUCUUGUGCAAUAUUUUUCAAAAUCAGAUAUGUGGCUCGUGAGACAAUUGACAGUACAUGAUUUUAUAUAUGGACAGCUUUGCUGGGCGUUUUAUCAUGCUUCGUAAUGCACUGGGACAUGGCUCAAUGACAAUUAUGUUAUUUGAUGCCUAAUCUAAAUGUGCAGAAAUACACUUAUAUGGGGGACUACUUUUUCCUUUCAGCUUAGACCAUCCGUGCCUAUGGUACUUCCUGUAGUCCCCAAAAUAUGCGCCACAUGUACCAUGCAUGACUUCAUCUAAAAGCUUGUAUCGAAAUGCGGGUAAAUUGUGGCCUAUGUGGGAGGCUUGACAUUACAUUGACAUGCAGAGGUGCAAUAAUAUUCCUUGCAUGCAUGUCUUGUGCAAUAUUUUUCAAAAUCAGAUAUGUGGCUCGUGAGACAAUUGAUGGUACAUGAUUUUAUAUAUGGACAGCUUUGCUUGGCGUUUUAUCAUGCUUCUUAAUGCAUUGAGACAUGGCUCAAUGACAAUUAUGUGAUUUGAUGCCUAAUCUAAAUGUGCAGAAAUAUACUUAUAUAGGGACUGCCUUUUCCUUUCAGCUUAGACCAUCCGUGCCUAUGGUACUUCUUGGAGGCCCCAAAAUAUGCGCUAGUUGUAUCAUUCAUGACUUCAUCUAAAGCUUAUAUCGAAAUGUGGGUAAAUUGUGGCUUAUGUGGGAGGCUUGCCAUUGACAUGCAGAGGUGCAAUAAUAUUCCUUGCAUGCAUGUCUUGUGCAAUAUUUUUCAAAAUCAGAUAUGUGGCUCGUGAGACGAUUGAUGGUAGUCGAUAUUUUAUAGAUGGUGUUGCAUUAGCAUUUUUUAUGCUUCUCAAUGCAUUGGCACGUGGAUCAAUGACAAUUAUUUGAUUUGGUGCCUAAUCUAAAUUUGCAAAAAUAUAUUUUAUGGGGGCUGCUUUUUAUUUUCAGCUUAUACUAUCCAUGCCUAAGUUGCUUCUUGUAGCCCCCCAAAAUAUGUUUUCAUUUAUCGCUCAUUGCUUCAUUUGAAGGCUUGCAUGGAAAUGUUUGGUAAAUUGAGAUCGAUCCUUGGAGGCUUUAAAUUGACAUGCAGAGGUGCAAUAAUAUUCCUUGCAUGCAUGUCUUGUGCGGUAUUUUUCAAAAUCGGAUAUGUGGCUUGCUAGACAGUUGACGGUACUUGAUUUUAUGUAGACGGCUUUGCUUUGGCAUUUUAUCAUGCUUCUCAAUGUACCAAGACAAGGCUCAAUGACACUUUUGUGAUUUGGUGCCUAAUCUAAAUGUGUAGAAAUAUAUACAAGGACUACUUUUUCCUCUGAGCUUAGACUAUUCGUGCCUAUGCUGUGCCCCCAAAAAUAUAUGCUGCAUGUGUCACUCAUGGCUUCAUCUGAAUGCUCGUAUCAAAAUGUGGGUGAAUUGUGGCUUAUGUGGGCGGCUUGACAUUGACAUGCAGCGGUGCAAUAAUAUUCCUUACAGGCUUGUCUCGUGCAGCAUUUUUCAAAAUUUGAUAUGUGGCUUCCUAGACAAUUGACAGUACAUGAUUUUAUACGUAGACGGCUUUCCUUUGGCGUUUUAUCAUGCUUCUUAGUGCAUUGGGACAUGGGUCAAUGACAAUUAUGUGAUUUGAUGCCUAAUCUAAAUGUGCAGAGAUACACUUAUAUGGGGGACUACUUUUUCCUUUCAGCUUAGACCAUCCGUGCCUAUGGUACUUCCUGUAGUCCCCAAAAUAUGCGCCACAUGUACCAUGCAUGACUUCAUCUAAAAGCUUGUAUCGAAAUGCGGGUAAAUUGUGGCCUAUGUGGGAGGCUUGACAUUACAUUGACAUGCAGAGGUGCAAUAAUAUUCCUUGCAUGCAUGUCUUGUGCAAUAUUUUUCAAAAUCAGAUAUGUGGCUCGUGAGACAAUUGACGGUACUCGAUUUUUUAUAGAUGGUGUUGCUUUAGUAUUUUUUCAUGCUUCUCAAUGCACUGGGACAUGGCUCAAUGACAAUUAUGUGAUUUGGUGCCUAAUCUAAAUUUGCAAAAAUAUCUUUUUAUAGGGACUACUUUUUAUUUUCAGCUUAUACUAUCCAUGCCUAAGUUGCUUCUUGUAGUCCCCCAAAAUGUGUGCUACAUGUGUCAUUCAUGACUUCAUCUAAGUGCUUGUAUCGAAAUGUGGGAAAAUUGUGGCUUGUGUGGGAGGCUUGAUAUUGACAUGUAGAGGUGCAAUAAUAUACCUUAAAUGCAUAUCUUUUGCGGUAUUUUUCAAAGUCAGAUAUGUGGCUUGCUAGAUGAUUGAUGAUACUUGAUUUUAUAUGGAUGGCUUUGCUAUGGCAUUUUAUCAAUCUUCUCAAUGUACUCAGACAAGGCUCAAUAGCAAUUUUGUUAUUUGAUGCCUAAUCUAAAUGUGCAUUAAUAUAUAUUUAUGGGGACUGAUUUUUCUUUUCAUAUUAGACUAUUUGUGGCUAUGCUGCUUCUUGUAGGCCCCCAAAAUAUGCACUACAUGUAUCAUUCAUUGCUUCAUCAGAAUGCUUGUAUUGAGCUAUGGAUAAAUUGAGGCUUAUCAUGGAAGCUUGAAAUUGAUUUGCAUAGCUGCAAUAAUAUUCCUUAAAUGCUUGUCUUGUGCGGUAUCUAUCAAAAUCUGAUAUGUGGCUUGUUUGUAAAACUACAUUACUUUGAUUUUAUUUGGAUGGCUUUGCUUUGGUAUUUUAUCAUGCUUCUUAAUGCACUUGGACAAGACUUGAUGAAUAUUAUGUGAUUUGAUGCCUAAUCUAAAUUUGCAGAAAUAUUCUUUUAUGGUGAUUACUUUUUCGUUCCAGUUUGGACUAUUUGUGCCUAUGCUGCUUCUUGUAGUCCCCAAAAAUAUAUGCUGCAUGUAUCAUUCAUGGCUUCAUCUGAAUGAUGGUAUCAAAAUGUGGGUUAAUUGUGGCAUAUUUGGGAGGUUUGAAAUUGACUUUCAGAGGUGCAAUAAUAUUCCUUACAUGCAUGUCUUGUGCCUUGUUUUUCAAAAUCGGAUAUUUGGCUUGCUAGACAAUUGAUGGUAUUUGAUUAUAUAUAGAUGGCUUUGCUUCAGCAUUUUAUUGUGUUCUUAAUGCAAGGCUCAAUGACAAUUUUGUCAUUUGAUACUUGAUCUAAAUGUGCAGAAAUGUAUUUUUAUGGUGACUGCUUUUUCCAUCUAGCUUAGACUAUCUAUGCCUAUCAUGCUCUGCUUGUAGUCCCCCAAAAUAUGUGCUUCAUUUAUCGUUCAUUGUUUUAUUUGAAGGGUUGUAUAGAAAUGUGGUUAAAUUGAGAUUGAUCCAUGGAGGCUUUAAAUUGACAUGCAGAGGUGCAAUAAUAUUCCUUACAUGCAUGUCUUUUGUGGUAUCUUUCAAAGUCGCUUGCUAGACAGUUGAUGGUACUUGAUUUUAUAUAGAUGGCUUUGCUUUGGCAUUUUCUCAGGCUUCUUAAUGCAUUCGGACAAGGCGCAAUGACAAUUUUGUGAUUUGAUGCCUAUUCUAAAUUUGCAGAAGUAUAUAUUUAUAGGGACUACUUUUUCCUUUCAGCUUAGAAAAUUUGUGCCUAUGCUGCUUCUUGUAGUCCUCUCAAAAAUAUGCUACAUGUAUAAUUCAUUGCUUCAUCAGAAUGCUUGUAUUGAAAUGUGGCUUGCUAGAGAAAUGACGGUACUUCGUUUUUAUUUUGAUGGCUUUUCUUUGGGAUUUGAUUCCUUAUCUAAAGAUGCAGGAAUAUAUUUUUUGGCGGAUUACUUUGCUUUUACUCUUAGAUUAUACAUGGAUAUUCUCUUGGUGGCCCCCAACAUAUAAUCUAUAUUUAUCUUUUGAUGUUUGGUUUAAAUGCUGAUAUGCUAAUGUGGUAUGUUGAGAAUGAUUUAGAUGUUUGGGCUUGACUUAUAGAGCUGUUUUAAUGUUUUGACAUUCAUACCUUGAGUUCUAUCAAAACGGGAUGUGGUUCCUUAGAAUAGUGACCAAGCUUUUGUUUGAACUUGAGGUUUUGGCUAUGGAAUACUCAAUGCACUCUUGCUCAAUUACAAUUAUAUCAUUUGAUGGAUAAUCUGAAUGCAUAAAUAUAUUUUUAUCUGUUCGUGUGGUGCUUGUAACCCCCCAAACUAUGUGCUAUAUGUAUGCUUCUAUGGAAAUUUGUGUAUAUUGAGGCUGGUUUUGGAGGCUGGAAAAUUGGCAUGUUGAGCUGCAACAAUAUUCGUUACAUGCACUUUAACCCUAUCAAAUAUGGAUGUACUUUUAUUUGAGUUAGAUGCUUUUUCUUUGAUAUCUAAUCAUGCUUCUUAAUUCAUUCCGACAAGUUUUAGUGACAAUUAUGUCAUUUAAUGUCCAAUCCAAAUGUGUAGAAAUAUAUUUACAGUGGGUUAGUUUGCUUUUCAACUUAGACUAUCCUUGUCUAUCCUACUUAUUGUCCCCUAGCAUGUAUGCUAAAUAUGUAACAUUUGAUGCUUGGUUUGAAUACUCAUGUAAAUGUGGGUAAAUUGAGGUUGAUAUGGAGACCUUUACUUGACAAAGCUGCCAUUAUUUUCCUUAUAUGCAUGCCUUAAAGAUAUAUUAGCAUGGGUUUUGUAUCAUUUGUUAAAAAUGAUAUUUCUUAAGCUCUACAGAAUUCUUUCAAGGUGAAAAUGAAAUGCUAUGCAUCAUUUCAACCAUUUAUAACUUAUAUUUCCUCCAUGCUUUUGACUUCUGGGAUAGUUUGGUUUGACAAUCAUGAUUUUACUUGGAUUCUUGUAAUAUGAAUAAGUUGUAAAGAGGUGGAUGAUACACUGAGGAUGACAGAAAAGCAAUUCUUGUACAAAUUCUAGAUUUAGUUGCCUUUUGUCAUCUCCAAGGAGUCAUUCACUGUGAUCUAAAACCUUUUUUUUUUUUUUUUUGCUUUUUUUUUGGUGAAGGUAUAUAAUUACCUCUCCAAUGUAUUAUUUGUCACCCUACACAUUUUGCUUGUUCCACAGAAUUUUCUUUUUGCCUCAAAAGGAGAUGAUUCUCUGAUGAAGGUUGUGGAUUUGGUCUAUCGGGUUUUGUUAGACCAGGGCAGCCAAUCUUCUGAGGAAAUUAUAAUGGAAAAUAUGAUGGAAAGUGCAUAUUUAAGAUGACUGGAUCCCAAUCUUUUCAUCGCCUCGAAUAUUGAUGGUAUAAACGCCUCAAUGAUAUUGUUGGCUGUGCCUACUAUGUUGCACCUGAAGUGCUCCAUAGAUCUUACAGUGUUGAAGCAGACUUAUGGAGUAUCGGAGUUAUUACAUACAUAUUGUUAAGUGGAAGUAGACUAAGAAUCUUCUGGCUUGUGCUAAGAGCUAAUCCUAACUUUGAUGAUUCACCUUGGCCAUCAAUAUCACCAGAAGCUAAAGACUUUGUCAAGAGGCUUUUGAACAAUGACCAUAGAAAAAGGAUGUCUGCUGCCCAAGCUCUAGGUAUCUGUUAGAAUGUUCUGCUCAGACCCUGGUUGACUUAAUAAUUGAAUCUUUGCAAUCAAAAUGCUCUCUCUCACUCUCUCUCUCCCCCUCUCUCUCACACACCCACGCACACCCACACACAUCCUGAUUUGAGAAAUGAAAAAGAUGCCAUUCCUUUAGACAUUUCAAUCUUCAAGUCUGUCAAGUCACUCAUGUGUGGGCCUCACCUUUCAAACGACCAGCGCUGAAGGUAACGGCUAUUAAACAAAAACACCUUAUCGUGUUUUUUAUGCAUUAACGAUGUAGGCUUUCUCAAAAGCAUUGCCAGAAGAUGAACUCAUCUUUCUAAGAGUGCGAUUUUUAAUUUCUAAUAUUUAAAACAUUUUAAAACCCAAAACUAUAUGUGUGUGUGUGUGUUCCUUUCAUUCUCCCCACACUUUAGUUUCUACUUCCCCACUAACAUCAAUCGCUUCUGCUCUCUUCAACCUCAUAUGAUGAAUCAUGCAUUUUUCAACCCCAUAUACUCAGUGGUAGGUGAGAAAUCUUUUAAAUUUUUAGAAUUACUCUGAGUUUUCCUGUGUUUUGUUUUUUCAAUUCUUUUAUCCGAGGAUUGACCUUUUUGCUUUUGUUAUCCAUGAAUGAUACAUGGCGAUCUUUAAUGUAAGUAGCCUACAAUUAAGUCAAUGCAGGAUUUGGAUGUGUCUUUUGUUGGGCUUUUGAGGUAUAUCCUUCCAAAAAUUGGUUCCUAACAAUGGGAAAUUUCAUCUUUGGCAGGGUGUCGUUUUCCACUAGGUUGGUUUUUGUCAACAAUGGUUUUGCUUUCUGUUCCAAGGUUUAUUUGUUUGGAAAAAAGGUGUACGAGGGAGGGAGAAUUGCAAACAACUUUAUCCAAUUCCUGUUGGGUUUGGUGUUUUAUAUUGAUGUUUAUAUUAUUUCAAUAUGUCAUCAUCAUUUGUAAGACUUACAACUUGAAGGCAGACAAAUUUAUCUGAUGAUAAAUCUUUGUUGUUCUACCAAGGGUGGUUGAUUUUUUUUUUUUUAAAUCUCAUAUUACAUUCUAAUAAAAGCACGUAGUUUCAUAAGUUUUCCUUUAAUGUCUUCAUUCUUUAACAGAAAAUCACAAUUUUUCUUUGCAGUGACCAUUUCGUUCAAAUUAACUUUUCUAAUUGGAGAUUUCGAUGCCAAGAACUCAUGUCUCUUGAGGUGAUAGCUCCAAUGAUACCAAGAAGGCACCCAUGUGGUGACCUCCUUAUUAUUGAUUAGACGACAUCUGUACCUUAUACUAGAUUAUGUUGACAAAGAGAGUGGUGAAAAAGGAGUUGUGAAGGGGAACUUGUUAUUCAAGACAUAAGGAGCGAGUCCGGCCGAGAAAGCACCAGAGGUGUAACUGUGGUGUAUGAGACACCAUCUUUUACGUUGCCUCUUAUUUUAGAUUAUACAAUGUAUCUUGUGCCAACUUAGGACAUAUCUUCUUUGUGAAGCAUGUAAACUCUAAUCCUUUUUAUUAAAAGUAUUUAUAUGACCAAGAGGAUUAUGUCUGUCCCUCUUGAUUUAUGAUCUGAUUUGAAUAACAUGCUAUGAGGAUCAUGUCUGUCCCUCAUGGUUCUAAUUGUUUUUUUUAGAUAUUUUAAGACCUGUGGUAUAUUGUCUUGGAUGUAUCGUGGUAGAAAUUUUUCUACCAUGAUAAGGGUUCAAUGAAAAAAAAAAUAAAAAAAAAGGAUUUGUUGAAUUAAUAACUUGUGAAAAAUCGGUCUGUUAAUUUGAGAGUGUUACACCAAAUGUUAGGAUUUAUGCUAGACUUUUGAUUUUGAAAGUUGUAAUACCCAUUAUUUUAUUAUAUUUAUGAACUGGUAUCCCUGUUGGCUAUUGUUAGGUCAUUGAUUUGACUAUUGUGAAUUGUAAUAUAUAAUUUUUUAUUAGUAGACCACAUCUCCAUCCACGAUGGUGUGGGCCUUAUUUUCAUGUCAGUGUUGGGUUCCUUAAGGUAAAUUCUGGUAUAGUUUCAUAUUUUGUACAAAUAUUUGGAUCAAUUGCUAUCCUUGAGUUAGGGUGUUACUUUUUAGUAUUAGAGUGUUACAUUAUAACACCCCUUGCAUUCUAAAAGGGGGAGGUUGUGGUCUGGUCAGGAGCUUUAGGGUUUUUGGCCAUGUACGAUAUCUCUUAGUUGGAGAGCAAGUCACCUAGUCACAUGGGUAAGUUUUUUACAGUGAUAAAGCUCACGAUCUUAGCUAGAAGAAUAAGGAUGAGAUAAGGGAGUAUAAAUGGAUUUAAGUGGCUUAUUGAAUACUGUACAUGUUGAGCUUGAAUGGAUCAUUUUGCUUUACUGUGCAUGUGAAUUCUAUCUUUGGGUAUUCUUAUUACUAGCAUAUGGGAAGGUAUAGAAAACAAUGUCUGUUUCUUGUACUAGCCAGUAGCUCGGGUGGAUAAAUUAGCAAAGGACUUGGCUUUAUUCUCCUAACAAGUAUGGCUUUUUUGUUUUUGUUAUUAUUAUAAAACAAGGGGUAGUAAGCUCCAAAGAGUCAUGGAAGGUUGAUCCUUUGUUUGGUUUGGGGGUUGGGGAGGGGAGCCGAGGGCAGGAAUUUUGCUUCAAAGGGAAUUAAAUCAAGGGGGGUUCUAAGCAUGUGAAAACCAAGAAUUAGGCUCAAGGCAUGAUUGGCUAGGUGAUCUGCACAUCGAUUGGCCUCUUUGUAUACAUGUUAGAGUUGAAUAUUCCAAUGGCAUUGAAAGAGGUUUUUGAUGUCUUGUAGUAAGACGUGGUGAGACUUUAUCAGAGAGUGGUCGCCAAUUAUAAGCUAGAUAGCACAAACAGUGUCACUUGGAAGCAAGAUGUGCCGGUAGCCUUCAUCCCAUGCAAUGGCCUACAGUUCUGCUUGGGUGUUAUUGCCGGGGCCUAUAUAUGUUGCUGUAUACUCCAUUGAUCCAGUUCCUGCUCGAGGCUAUUGCCCAUGUGGAGUUCACUUUAAAGUUUGCAUCAUAAUUUAUCUUAACCCAGCCUAAAGGCGGAGCAUACUCCAAGUCCUGGAUGCAACUGGGUUGGCUGCGGAGUGAAGCUGAGACCCAUUUGCCUUCCUAGUGUGACGUGUCUACGUUCAGUUAAUGGAAAAAAGGUGAUCUUGAUUGCCACUGGGGAGAAGAGAUCUCUAAAGGAGUACCAGAGCAAUACAUGGUUCAUGUCCUCUUUCUCGUAGCUGUGGCAGAAAUGGCAAGCAUUUGAAAAAGGUGCUCCAUGACGGCGUACGUGUUCACAGUUACAUUCUUCCUUUUAAUGGCAUCCUUUAGGAGGAUCGAAUGCGUUGGUUUCCAUUUUGGGUCAGCAUCAUUGAAUCAAACGCACAGGCCACAUGUAUGACUUUAUUGUUUGUUAACAUAUCAUCAAUAUAUCUAACAUAAAAAAUAUUUGAAAAAAUUAAUCUUUUAGUCUUUCAACUUUUAUAUUACUUGUAACUCAGUCCCUCAAUUAUGACUCGCUGUGACUCAGUCCCUCAACUAUAACUCACCUAUAACUCAGUCCUUCAACUUUUGAAUCACUUACAAAUUCAUCUCUUAAUCUUUGUUAAUUUUUUUUCAUGCUAGCUUAUAUCUUACGUUAAUGAAUAAGAAGAGAGUAUUUUAAAAUAAUAUAUGAGCAUUUUUUAUCCCUCUUAUUUGAUAAUUUUUUUUAAAAUUAAAAAAUAAGGAUCGAGUUAUAGGUAAAUCAAAAGUUGAGGAAUUAAGUUGCAAUGAGUUAUAAUUAAGGGACUGAAUCGCAGCGAGUCAU
Long non-coding RNA from Prosopis cineraria, 15238 nucleotides. RefSeq lists it as uncharacterized. NCBI's taxonomy places the organism in Eukaryota, Viridiplantae, Streptophyta, Magnoliopsida, Fabales, Fabaceae. The transcript has 7 exons. The record is from RefSeq and is a predicted model, not a curated record.